ACGGGAGGCAGCAGUGGGGAAUAUUGGACAAUGGGGGAAACCCUGAUCCAGCGACGCCGCGUGAGUGAAGAAGUAUUUCGGUAUGUAAAGCUCUAUCAGCAGGGAAGAUAAUGACGGUACCUGACUAAGAAGCCCCGGCUAACUACGUGCCAGCAGCCGCGGUAAUACGGAGGAUCCGAGCGUUAUCCGGAUUUAUUGGGUUUAAAGGGUGCGCAGGCGGCUUUCUAAGUCAGUGGUUAAAUAGCGGUGCUCAACGCCGUCCCGCCAUUGAUACUGGAGAGCUUGAUUGCGGUCGAGGUUUGCGGAAUUCGUCGUGUAGCGGUGAAAUGCAUAGAUAUGACGAAGAACACCGAUUGCGUAGGCAGCAGACCAGACCGUAAAUGACGCUCAUGCACGAAAGUGCGGGGAUCGAACAGGAUUAGAUACCCUGGUA
Molecule: ribosomal RNA, 433 nt
Filed under: uncultured bacterium
Lineage: Bacteria
Description: partial 16S ribosomal RNA
Rfam family: Bacterial small subunit ribosomal RNA
Source: RNAcentral